This 253-nucleotide ribosomal RNA is filed under the name uncultured bacterium. Its description in RNAcentral is "partial 16S ribosomal RNA". It matches the Rfam family "Bacterial small subunit ribosomal RNA", at positions 524 to 776 of the family's 1533-position model. The record is from RNAcentral.
UACGUAGGGACCGAGCGUUGUCCGGAAUCAUUGGGCGUAAAGAGCGUGUAGGCGGCUUGUUAAGUCUUGCGUGAAAUCUCGGGGCUCAACCCCGAGCGGUCGUGAGAAACUGGCAGGCUAGAGUGCGGGAGAGGAGAGUGGAAUUCCUGGUGUAGCGGUGAAAUGCGCAGAUAUCAGGAAGAACACCCGUGGCGAAGGCGGCUCUCUAGUACGGUACUGACGCUGAGACGCGAAAGCGUGGGGAGCGAACAGG